GCCCGGCUAGCUCAAUCGGUAGAGCGUGAGACUCUUAGUUAUGGUUCGCCAUCGCAAGGUUCACAAUCUCAAGGUUGUGGGUUCGACCCCCACGUCGGGCU
This is a non-coding RNA of Chaetomium sp. MPI-CAGE-AT-0009, 101 nucleotides long. Lineage: Eukaryota; Fungi; Ascomycota; Sordariomycetes; Sordariales; Chaetomiaceae. The record is from the annotation of a GenBank genome assembly.